This is a small nucleolar RNA of Salmo trutta (river trout), 67 nucleotides long. The record is from Ensembl. NCBI's taxonomy places the organism in Eukaryota, Metazoa, Chordata, Actinopteri, Salmoniformes, Salmonidae.
UGAAUAUGAUGACAAUUAGGUUUCCGAGAUUACUGUGCGGAUAACCACCUUGGAGAACUGACACUCA